Molecule: ribosomal RNA, 472 nt
Filed under: uncultured bacterium
Lineage: Bacteria
Description: bacterial SSU rRNA
Rfam family: Bacterial small subunit ribosomal RNA
Source: RNAcentral
UGGGGAAUAUUGGACAAUGGGCGCAAGCCUGAUCCAGCCAUACCGCGUGAGUGAAGAAGGCCUUCGGGUUGUAAAGCUCUUUCAGACGGAAAGAAACGGUUACGGCUAAUACCCGUGACUAAUGACGGUACCGUAAGAAGAAGCACCGGCUAACUACGUGCCAGCAGCCGCGGUAAUACGUAGGGUGCGAGCGUUAAUCGGAAUUACUGGGCGUAAAGCGUGCGCAGGCGGUUUGGUAAGACAGAUGUGAAAUCUCCGAGCUUAACUCGGAACGGUCAACUGAUACUGUCACACUAGAGUACAGAAGGGGCAAUCGGAAUUCUUGGUGUAGCGGUGAAAUGCGUAGAUAUCAAGAGGAACACCUGAGGCGAAGGCGGGUUGCUGGGCUGAUACUGACGCUGAGGCGCGAAAGCUAGGGUAGCAAACGGGAUUAGAUACCCGAGUAGUCCCUGAGCGGGCUGGCAAGGCGCAU